AACCUUUCAAUUGGCGCAAAACCACCCUAUAUACAAGGUGUCGGGCAACCGACUAUGACGAUAAAUUGCCUGUGUAAUAAACCUAUCGGACCCGGGGGCGGUACCCGGCGCCUCCACCAAAAACCAUCUCGCAAUGAGCGCCGGAUGGCUUUUGAUGGGGGCGAAAUAGGAUCGACGAGGGCGUAAAGACUGUGUUUUCGUUCGGUAUUGUACCACCGUUAUCGGGCUACAACGAUAGUUGCAAAUGA
RNAcentral lists this transfer-messenger RNA (248 nucleotides) under Rhizobiaceae bacterium. Its description in RNAcentral is "partial transfer-messenger RNA". It matches the Rfam family "Alphaproteobacteria transfer-messenger RNA", at positions 1 to 239 of the family's 355-position model. From Rfam's summary of the family: Bacterial tmRNA, also known as 10Sa RNA or SsrA, is named for its dual tRNA and mRNA-like properties. Its role is to liberate the mRNA from a stalled ribosome. Lineage: Bacteria; Pseudomonadati; Pseudomonadota; Alphaproteobacteria; Hyphomicrobiales; Rhizobiaceae. The record is from RNAcentral.